UUUCCGGCCUUGACCCUUACGCACGGAGAUUGUUCCAGAUUCUCUGAAUCUUUGGAUGAUAUUAUCAGACACUGCCGUGAAAGACGCACAGACUCAGCAUCAGUGCAGUCAGAUCAGUGAAAUUGUUGAACAUUAAGUGUCCCCAACUAAGCAAGCCAGAGGUGACAGUGGCAAGGAACCCAAAUUCCAUCAGGUGACAGAAUGGAGACAAAAAAAACCAGGCUCAGUCGGUGGACCAGUCCUCCUCUGGCCAAAUGAAGCAACAUGGUGUGGUUUAAUUCCAGCCUGCAUCACAAGUCUGAAGUCAGAAUGCGGCCUUCUGUAUAUCAUCAUCAUCUGAUUGAGGAUUCUUUAGCUCUCUGAUAACAAUUCGCAUGCUAACUGUUCCCCUGCCAGCUCACUGAAAUGAAUGAAACUUCAUCCCUUCUGAUCCAAGCCUGAUCUCAUCCUUCUGAAUACAUUUCUUACCCACAGACCCCUGACUCGAAGGGGAAUACAGAGAGUUCAUGCAAUACUUCAUGUAUAUCCUCUAUUCAUGCCCUGCACUGAAUAAAGCUUUUGUCUGGUUUAUCCAUUUGUAUGUUGUACUGUAUGACUAAGUUGGUGAGUGUCCAGUUCUGACAAUGAUUAGACAAUAAUGUAUUUCAAAUGACAACAAACACAGAUUGUCAUUUUUGGUAUGUAGAUUACAUGUAAAGCUUCCUGAAAUGCAUGCAAGCAAAUGUGUAUUCCAGUGAUAUCAGAUCUGGAAUAUUAAUAACAUUUUUCUUUUAUACCAGUUGUGUUUGUGUAUGACCUAAUAAGUGCUGAACAGCUAUUUCUUCUGUAAUGUGAUGAUUCAUGCUGAUCAGACGUUUUUGCUAAAAGCAUCUUGCUGCCAGCUGACCCUCUGUACUGCUUCAGGGCAGUAAAAUGCAGUAUAGGGUACAGGGCUAUUUUGGAGGGUGAAUAAUUCUACUUUGUAAGUGCAGAAGCAAAGCAAAUUCACAUUCAUCACAAUCUAGGAGGAAGAGACUGUAGAGAGGGUUAGAGAUUUGUUUUCUCCUGGCUGUUGGGCCCCAAGUGACUGUCAGGUCUAAUCACUGUCCUGCACUUUUAAUGGUUAGAAAAAAAGUGAACCCAACCUGCAGGCCAGAGAUGGGGCCUCCCUACUCUUCUUCAGUCAAAAAUUUCAUGCUGGCCAGACAGAGACCUUUCGCUCCCUCAAACCAUGCUGAAUACAGUCUUAUUGUGGUCACUGGCUUGCCGAUCAAACAUCUAAAAGUGCAUUACUUAUAAACACAGGUUACCACUCUUUCAUGAACACCAGAUUCAAAGACUUUCAAGGACUGUUUAAAGCAUGUUUUAUUUUAUAUCAAUUGAGCACAAUAAAGACAAUAAAGGUGGGUUGGUUACUGCCAAUUUGGACAGUAUCAAAGACCUACUAGCCGUGUCUAUCAUUACUGCAGUAAUGUUAAGGCUUAUACUGACAUUAUUUAAGGGGCAUAUGACUUUUUUUAAAAUCCAAUGAGUAGAGAGGGCUGGUACAGUGUGUGUGUGUGUGUGUGUGUAUGUGUGUGUGAGAGAGAGAGCGGGCUUGAACCAUAGAUGCAGUUUGUAGCUUUCUUAUUCCUGCUUUUAACAUUUAUUUCACACUGGUUUUAUUUUUUUUAUGAAUCAUUACUUGAUUAAAAACAUUAAAAUAUAUAGAGAAUAUUAUAUACAUGAAUUUU
Molecule: long non-coding RNA, 1712 nt
Organism: Megalobrama amblycephala (Wuchang bream)
Lineage: Eukaryota; Metazoa; Chordata; Actinopteri; Cypriniformes; Xenocyprididae
Exons: 2
Source: RefSeq, a predicted model, not a curated record